RNAcentral lists this transfer RNA (70 nucleotides) under Megalops atlanticus (tarpon). RNAcentral's name for it is "tRNA-OTHER". The record is from RNAcentral. Lineage: Eukaryota; Metazoa; Chordata; Actinopteri; Elopiformes; Megalopidae.
AACACUGUAGCAUAGUGGUAAGGUGCAUGGCUUGUAAUCAAAAGGUUGCUGGUUCAAUUCCCCACUGGGG